RNAcentral lists this ribosomal RNA (219 nucleotides) under uncultured bacterium. RNAcentral's name for it is "partial 16S ribosomal RNA". It matches the Rfam family "Bacterial small subunit ribosomal RNA", at positions 524 to 742 of the family's 1533-position model. The record is from RNAcentral.
UACGAAGGGGGCUAGCGUUGCUCGGAAUCACUGGGCGUAAAGGGUGCGUAGGCGGGUCUUUAAGUCAGGGGUGAAAUCCUGGAGCUCAACUCCAGAACUGCCUUUGAUACUGAGGAUCUUGAGUUCGGGAGAGGUGAGUGGAACUGCGAGUGUAGAGGUGAAAUUCGUAGAUAUUCGCAAGAACACCAGUGGCGAAGGCGGCUCACUGGCCCGAUACUG